CGAGGCGAACCGGGGAAACUGAAACAUCUCAGUACCCCGAGGAAAAGAAAUCAACCCAGAUUCCCUCAGUAGCGGCGAGCGAACAGGGAGCAGCCCAGAGUCAACAUCAAUAUUUACCGCAGGAGAAAGAUCUGGAAAGGCCGGCAAUAAAGGGUGAUAGCCCCGUAUCUGAAACGGUAAGUGUUGUGAACUCGAAGAGUAAGGCGGGACACGUGUUAUCCUGUCUGAAUAUGGGGGGACCAUCCUCCAAGGCUAAAUACUCCUGACUGACCGAUAGUGAACCAGUACCGUGAGGGAAAGGCGAAAAGAACCCCGGCGAGGGGAGUGAAAUAGAACCUGAAACCGUGUACGUACAAGCAGUAGGAGCACCCGAAAAGGUGUGACUGCGUACCUUUUGUAUAAUGGGUCAGCGACUUAUAUUCUGUAGCAAGGUUAACCGCAUAGGGGAGCCGUAGGGAAACCGAGUCUUAACUGGGCGUUAAGUUGCAGGGUAUAGACCCGAAACCCGGUGAUCUAGCCAUGGGCAGGUUGAAG
This 534-nucleotide ribosomal RNA is filed under the name uncultured Arsenophonus sp. RNAcentral's name for it is "partial 23S ribosomal RNA". It matches the Rfam family "Bacterial large subunit ribosomal RNA", at positions 175 to 750 of the family's 2925-position model. The record is from RNAcentral. Lineage: Bacteria; Pseudomonadati; Pseudomonadota; Gammaproteobacteria; Enterobacterales; Morganellaceae.